UAGGGAAUAUUGGACAAUGGGGGCAACCCUGAUCCAGCAAUGCCGCGUGGGUGAAGAAGGCCUGCGGGUUGUAAAGCCCUUUUGGUAGGGAAGAAAAGCCUGGAGUUAAUACCUCCGGGUGUUGACGUAACCUACAGAAGAAGCACCGGCUAACUCUGUGCCAGCAGCCGCGGUAAUACAGAGGGUGCAAGCGUUAAUCGGAAUUACUGGGCGUAAAGCGUGCGUAGGUGGUUAUUUAAGUCGGAUGUGAAAUCCCUGGGCUCAACCUAGGAACUGCAUUCGAAACUGACUAGCUAGAGUACAGUAGAGGAUAGCGGAAUUCCCGGUGUAGCAGUGAAAUGCGUAGAUAUCGGGAGGAACACCAGUGGCGAAGGCGGCUAUCUGGACUGAUACUGACACUAAGGCACGAAAGCGUGGGGAGCAAACAGG
Molecule: ribosomal RNA, 429 nt
Filed under: uncultured Gammaproteobacteria bacterium
Lineage: Bacteria; Pseudomonadati; Pseudomonadota; Gammaproteobacteria
Description: bacterial SSU rRNA
Rfam family: Bacterial small subunit ribosomal RNA
Source: RNAcentral